Molecule: ribosomal RNA, 404 nt
Rfam family: Bacterial small subunit ribosomal RNA
UUGGGAAUAUUGCACAAUGGGGGAAACCCUGAUGCAGCGAUGCCGCGUGAGGGAAGAAGGUCUUCGGAUUGUAAACCUUUGUCUUUAGGGAAGAAUAAAUGACGGUACCUAAGGAGGAAGCCAUGGCUAACUACGUGCCAGCAGCCGCGGUAAUACGUAGAUGGCGAGCGUUGUCCGGAAUUACUGGGCGUAAAGGGAGCGUAGGCGGUUUGGUAAGUUGAAUGUGAAAUGUAUGGGCUCAACCCAUAAACUGCGUUCAAAACUACUGGACUUGAGUGGAGUAGAGGCAGGCGGAAUUCCCGGUGUAGCGGUGGAAUGCGUAGAUAUCGGGAGGAACACCAGUGGCGAAGGCGGCCUGCUGGGCUCUAACUGACGCUGAGGCUCGAAAGCAUGGGGAGCAAACA